Molecule: ribosomal RNA, 253 nt
Filed under: uncultured bacterium
Lineage: Bacteria
Description: partial 16S ribosomal RNA
Rfam family: Bacterial small subunit ribosomal RNA
Source: RNAcentral
UACGGAGGGGCUAGCGUUGUUCGGAAUUACUGGGCGUAAAGCGCGCGUAGGCGGACCUGCAAGUCGGGGUGAAAGCCCGAGGCUCAACCUCGGAACUGCCUUCGAAACUGCUGAGCUUGAGUACUUAAGAGGAUCGCGGAAUUCCGGUGUAGAGGUGAAAUUCGUAGAUAUCGGAGGAACACCAGCGCGAAGGCGGCGCUCUGGGCCGGUACUGACACUGAGGAGCGAAAGCGUGGGUAGCAAACAGGAUUAG